RNAcentral lists this transfer RNA (74 nucleotides) under Streptococcus pyogenes. Its description in RNAcentral is "tRNA-Glu(ttc)". It matches the Rfam family "tRNA". From Rfam's summary of the family: Transfer RNA (tRNA) molecules are approximately 80 nucleotides in length. Their secondary structure includes four short double-helical elements and three loops (D, anti-codon, and T loops). The record is from RNAcentral. Lineage: Bacteria; Bacillati; Bacillota; Bacilli; Lactobacillales; Streptococcaceae.
UGGUCCGUUGGUCAAGGGGUUAAUACACCGCCUUUUCACGGCGGUAACACGGGUUCGAAUCCCGUACGGACUAU